Non-coding RNA from Phialocephala subalpina, 73 nucleotides. The record is from the annotation of a GenBank genome assembly. NCBI's taxonomy places the organism in Eukaryota, Fungi, Ascomycota, Leotiomycetes, Helotiales, Mollisiaceae.
GGGCUGCUAGUGGAAAGGUUACCAUUUCCUGUAUAGGAGGUAGGAAUUCCGGGUUCGAGUCCCGGGCAGUCCA